CCUACGGGAGGCAGCAGUGGGGAAUAUUGGACAAUGGGCGAAAGCCUGAUCCAGCAAUGCCGCGUGUGUGAAGAAGGCCUUCGGGUUGUAAAGCACUUUAAGUUGGGAAGAAAAAGCUCUGGCUAAUAUCUAGAGCCUUGACGGUACCAACAGAAUAAGCACCGGCUAACUCUGUGCCAGCAGCCGCGGUAAUACAGAGGGUGCUAGCGUUAAUCGGAUUUACUGGGCGUAAAGCGUGCGUAGGCGGUUUGAUAAGUCGAUUGUGAAAGCCCCGGGCUUAACCUGGGAAUUGCAGUUGAUACUGUCAGACUAGAAAACGGUAGAGGGAGGCGGAACUCCAGGUGUAGCGGUGAAAUGCGUAGAUAUCUGGAAGAACACCGAUGGCGAAGGCAACCUCCUGGGCCUGUUUUGACGCUGAGGCACGAAAGCGUGGGUAGCAAACAGGAUUAGAUACCCUGGUAGUCCACGCCGUAAACGAUGAGAACUUGACGUUGGUUUGCUUAGCAAAUCGGUGUCGUAGCUAACGCGAUAAGUUCUCCGCCUGGGGGAGGUACGGCCGCGAGUAGAACGACAANAGAGUAGACGGCGUGAGACGUGACCGACGGACGACGACGAGGGAGGAGG
This 624-nucleotide ribosomal RNA is filed under the name uncultured bacterium. Its description in RNAcentral is "bacterial SSU rRNA". The stretch from base 1 to 542 matches the Rfam family "Bacterial small subunit ribosomal RNA", at positions 338 to 873 of the family's 1533-position model. The record is from RNAcentral.